Molecule: unclassified non-coding RNA, 282 nt
Filed under: Kitasatospora melanogena
Lineage: Bacteria; Bacillati; Actinomycetota; Actinomycetes; Kitasatosporales; Streptomycetaceae
Description: partial 16S-23S ribosomal RNA gene spacer
Source: RNAcentral
AAGGAGCACAUAGCCGACUGCGAGCGAAUGUCUCGCACGGUUGCUCAUGGGUGGAACGUUGACUAUUCGGCACGCUCGGUUGAUGGCCGCCAGUACUGCACUUCGGUCGGUGGAAGACGGUUCAUGGGUCGGGUGUGUCGGGCACGUUGUUGGGUCCUGAGGGAACGGCCGUCAUGGUCGUUGCUUCAGAGAUGCCGGUCCCACUGACAGGCCUCCUGGUGAGCGUCGUAGGUGGGUGACUGGUCGUUGUUUGAGAACUGCACAGUGGACGCGAGCAUCUGU